This 497-nucleotide ribosomal RNA is filed under the name uncultured bacterium. RNAcentral's name for it is "partial 16S ribosomal RNA". It matches the Rfam family "Bacterial small subunit ribosomal RNA", at positions 28 to 507 of the family's 1533-position model. The record is from RNAcentral.
GAUGAACGCUGGCGGCGUGCCUAAUACAUGCAAGUCGAGCGAACGGACGAGAAGCUUGCUUCUCUGCUGUUAGCGGCGGACGGGUGGGUAACACGUGGAUAACCUACCUAUAAGACUGGGAUAACUUCGGGAAACCGGAGCUAAUACCGGAUAAUAUUUUGAACCGCAUGGUUCAAAAGUGAAAGACGGUCUUGCUGUCACUUAUAGAUGGAUCCGCGCUGCAUUAGCUAGUUGGUAAGGUAACGGCUUACCAAGGCAACGAUGCAUAGCCGACCUGAGAGGGUGAUCGGCCACACUGGAACUGAGACACGGUCCAGACUCCUACGGGAGGCAGCAGUAGGGAAUCUUCCGCAAUGGGCGAAAGCCUGACGGAGCAACGCCGCGUGAGUGAUGAAGGUCUUCGGAUCGUAAAACUCUGUUAUUAGGGAAGAACAUAUGUGUAAGUAACUGUGCACAUCUUGACGGUACCUAAUCAGAAAGCCACGGCUAACUACGUG